Bombus impatiens (common eastern bumble bee) is the source of this 3173-nucleotide long non-coding RNA. RefSeq lists it as uncharacterized. The record is from RefSeq and is a predicted model, not a curated record. The transcript has 2 exons. Lineage: Eukaryota; Metazoa; Arthropoda; Insecta; Hymenoptera; Apidae.
AGAAAAAGGAAUAUAAAACUGUACGUGACAUAGUUAUACAGUACUGUGCACUUACUUUGUGGAAAACUUUCUCGAGAGCUUAUUUAAUAUGUUUGUGCCACGAAGUUACGAGAAGAAGAGCGUUACGAUGUGAUAUAUGCAAAUUCCCGUGGAUGUUCUGAAAAUGCACCCAAGCAGUGAAGAGAUUACUUAACGUGAAAAUAUGCGCGCGAUGGCGAAGGGGAAAAGGAUCUUGUCAGCCUUGCCGAUUAAACGAGCAAGAAUAUUUUAAGAGGCGAUGUAAUCGACAGACUGUCACUUGUCUGCGCGUGAAGACGGCGAGUACUAACUUUACCGUGUCUGAAGGUCCGAACUUCUACUAGUCUGGCCAACGAUUGCGUACCACUGCCGAGCCAUACCGAUGUACCGUGUUAGCGUACCGUGAGUGCCCGUACACGUUGUAUCCAUUAAUUAUUGGCCAAGCACAUCCGACGACGAAACGUUCGAUGUACUUAGAACGAAAGCGAGAGAGCGGUGCACUAGAGAGAGAGAGAGAGAGAGAGAGAGAGAGAAAGAUUGCAAACUAAAGGAAAGGAGAGAAUGUAUCACGAUUUAUGUAAAAACGAAAAAACAAAAAAAAAAAAAAAGAGAAACUAACAAAGAAACGUUAUGUCGCUAGCUUCUUCACACCUGUAUGUAUUACGCUGUUAUUGGCCGUCGGAUGUCUUGAAGUAAUACGCUUAAAUGGAGAUGAGAACUAAACCUAUUAACUUUGUGGAUUUCCUUUCUCGUUAUUAUCUGUAUCUUCCCACUGAGUAUGUACCGAGAAUAUUGUUCCUUUUAUAAGCUUGCCAGCGCAAGUAAAUGUCGAACAAUCGGACGGUAGAUUUGUAUACAGCGAAAGAGUGCGAAUGCAAAUGCUACGACGGAAGGAGAGAAUGAGCGCGGUAAUGUAAGACCUAGAGAAAACAUAGAAAAGAGGUAUCGAUUGGCGGAGUGAAAGAGAACAAAUUCAGAGUACCAGAGUGAUGGAAAGACAAAGAGAAGAGGAAGGAGAUCCCGUUGUCCUCCAGUGUGUAUGCUUUCAUGUGGAAAGAGAACGAAUCUUCGUGUUACUCGAAUGCUUAAGAAGCUAAUGCCUCUUACGUUUUCUUACUUUUUCGUUACUAGUAUCGUUUGUAAGCAUGAUCUCUCGAUGGAACAUAUACGACACAAACAUACACAUACAAACAUAUGCACACACACCAAAUUUCGCGAUUAGGGUAUAUAUUAGUAAUGAAUUCCAAAAUUAAGGAACGGAGUUAUCUCCGUGAGAGGAGGGAGGAAGGGAGCACACGCAAGAGAAUGAAAGUGAGAACGUGUGAAAGAAAGAAAGAAAGAAAGAAAACUGCGCGAGUGAAUCUUGUGGAAACGAGAGAGUCUCCGUAUUUAUAUCGCUAUCCAGCCACAUAUCGUUGGCGUGAUUAUGCUGCAACUAUGUUGCAAUUUAGCUUGUAGUCUUUUUUUUAGUCGAUUUUUCAUGUGUCACCAGUUUUUAAAUACAACACGACUGACUGCUGGUUAAGUAUGGUUGUGAGCGAUUAAGAAAAUGUUUCCUUAUCUUAUUCGGGAUGUAUGUCCCCUUUUCUUAACGAUAUUUUUGUUUUCUUAUUCAUUCUUGUACUUCGUAUAGAAAAGGUUGUUAUGCUCGUCCCAAUGACGAAUUCGAUCGUCCAUUACUAAUGAUAGAACAAUGAUUGAGUUUGAAAACGAUUAUUUGUAUAUUUGUAAAAUGGUGCGAAUAGAUCGGACCGAGAUCAAUGUAUGUAUGUGUCUUUCAUUUCCUCGCUUUUAAUGAGUUGCUACAACUCGCGACUUAUCGUUCGUUUUUCAAUUAUGAGAACGACAGGCGGUCAUGUUACAGCAAGACUCGAGCUGAUCGCAAAUCAAUCCGUAGAGGAUACGUGAUUUCCGUUGCGUUUCUUUUUUCAAUCGUUUGUUUUGUAAUUAAUACAAAGUGGAAUUUAUUAAUUUUAUUCAUGUGUUGAAAAAUUUACUUGAUAUUUUCUUUUCUUGUAUCGAUUAUACAAGACUUGUUCCUUAAUUAUUUCUUUAAUCCUGACUAUUUUUUGUGUGCAUUCUGUGCAUGGAACUGGUAUCUUCUUUAAUUGUUCCAUUACAUGUAUUUCCAAUUCGUUUUCAUUGUAAGGCAAGGGCUAAAGUUUGUAAAGCUAUUAUUAAAUUUUGAUCUGUCUUUAAAAUAUUUGCCUUGGAAUGUUAGUAACAUUUAUUUAAAAAGAAAAAAAAACGCAUUCAAUUCUAGCUAAUAUGUUAAUCAAUGUGUCGCGUUUUUUUUUUUUUUUUUUUUUUAAGUGAAUUUUUCACGUGAUACAUUUCGCUCUGCGAACAUGAUCUAGAUAAUGUACGGUUUUAAUUAUUAUUAUAAAAGUUUGUGUAGCAUGUAUUCGUUGUUAAAGCAUUCUGCAGCUUGUGUUCGAUGAUUAUUUGCCAUUUAUAUGGAAUUGGCAGCUCAUGUGCAUUAUGAUAGUAUGCCCAUGUAAUGAGUGUGAUUGAUGACGUUAUAGAAAUUUUGAGAAGUUUAUCGAUAUAGUGAGGAGACGUUAUGCUAUGGAAAGAAAAAAUAAAAAUCGGGCGACGAUUCAUUUUUGUAAAUAAGAAUUAUUGGAAUGGAUAUAGAAGUACGCACACGGAAACACGAAAAGUUAAAAUAUGUGAAAUGUCGGAUAUCCGGACAUGUAUCAGCUUCAGAUUAUAUAUACAUAUACAUAUAUGCAUAAACAAUAUCAAUAAUGGCGAUUACUAAGCUGUAUUGUUACUACAGUAAUUACCACUGUCUCGCAACGGCAGUGAUCGACUAAUUUUAUUACCGCGUAAUCAUAAAUGAUGCCAGUGAGAAGUGAAUGUGUUCUUUGUGACGAAAUCGAACGAAGAAGAGUAUGGAAAUUGCUAAUGAAUUAUUCCAUUUUCUAAUUUAUAGAGACAAUUUAAAAGUAUCGAAGAUGCUUUCCGAAGAUAUUUUGUCCAUUUCGUACAUGUCUACAAACACAAAGACAAUGACGUCUGAAGUUUUUGAGCGAGAAUAUUCUAUUAUAUUAAUGGAACGACAUUGUUCACUUUUAACGUGCUUUUGUUAUUCUAUUAGUGGAUUCGUUUUCUUUCCACUUACGAAACUAAUAAUCUAUUAAAGAUAAAAA